RNAcentral lists this ribosomal RNA (1212 nucleotides) under Escherichia coli. Its description in RNAcentral is "partial 23S ribosomal RNA". It matches the Rfam family "Bacterial large subunit ribosomal RNA", at positions 532 to 1746 of the family's 2925-position model. The record is from RNAcentral. Lineage: Bacteria; Pseudomonadati; Pseudomonadota; Gammaproteobacteria; Enterobacterales; Enterobacteriaceae.
AGGGGAGUGAAAAAGAACCUGAAACCGUGUACGUACAAGCAGUGGGAGCACGCUUAGGCGUGUGACUGCGUACCUUUUGUAUAAUGGGUCAGCGACUUAUAUUCUGUAGCAAGGUUAACCGAAUAGGGGAGCCGAAGGGAAACCGAGUCUUAACUGGGCGUUAAGUUGCAGGGUAUAGACCCGAAACCCGGUGAUCUAGCCAUGGGCAGGUUGAAGGUUGGGUAACACUAACUGGAGGACCGAACCGACUAAUGUUGAAAAAUUAGCGGAUGACUUGUGGCUGGGGGUGAAAGGCCAAUCAAACCGGGAGAUAGCUGGUUCUCCCCGAAAGCUAUUUAGGUAGCGCCUCGUGAAUUCAUCUCCGGGGGUAGAGCACUGUUUCGGCAAGGGGGUCAUCCCGACUUACCAACCCGAUGCAAACUGCGAAUACCGGAGAAUGUUAUCACGGGAGACACACGGCGGGUGCUAACGUCCGUCGUGAAGAGGGAAACAACCCAGACCGCCAGCUAAGGUCCCAAAGUCAUGGUUAAGUGGGAAACGAUGUGGGAAGGCCCAGACAGCCAGGAUGUUGGCUUAGAAGCAGCCAUCAUUUAAAGAAAGCGUAAUAGCUCACUGGUCGAGUCGGCCUGCGCGGAAGAUGUAACGGGGCUAAACCAUGCACCGAAGCUGCGGCAGCGACGCUUAUGCGUUGUUGGGUAGGGGAGCGUUCUGUAAGCCUGUGAAGGUGUGCUGUGAGGCAUGCUGGAGGUAUCAGAAGUGCGAAUGCUGACAUAAGUAACGAUAAAGCGGGUGAAAAGCCCGCUCGCCGGAAGACCAAGGGUUCCUGUCCAACGUUAAUCGGGGCAGGGUGAGUCGACCCCUAAGGCGAGGCCGAAAGGCGUAGUCGAUGGGAAACAGGUUAAUAUUCCUGUACUUGGUGUUACUGCGAAGGGGGGACGGAGAAGGCUAUGUUGGCCGGGCGACGGUUGUCCCGGUUUAAGCGUGUAGGCUGGUUUUCCAGGCAAAUCCGGAAAAUCAAGGCUGAGGCGUGAUGACGAGGCACUACGGUGCUGAAGCAACAAAUGCCCUGCUUCCAGGAAAAGCCUCUAAGCAUCAGGUAACAUCAAAUCGUACCCCAAACCGACACAGGUGGUCAGGUAGAGAAUACCAAGGCGCUUGAGAGAACUCGGGUGAAGGAACUAGGCAAAAUGGUGCCGUAACUUCGGGAGAAGG